Molecule: ribosomal RNA, 269 nt
Filed under: uncultured prokaryote
Description: partial 16S ribosomal RNA
Rfam family: Bacterial small subunit ribosomal RNA
Source: RNAcentral
UACUGAGGGUGCAAGCGUUGUUCGGAAUUAUUGGGCGUAAAGGGCGCGUAGGCGGUAAUGCUAGUCAGAUGUGAAAUACUCCGGCUCAACCGGGGAACUGCAUCUGAAACUGCAUAACUAGAGUACAGAAGAGAGAAACGGAAUUCCCGGUGUAGAGGUGAAAUUCGUAGAUAUCGGGAGGAACACCAGUGGCGAAGGCGGUUUCCUGGUCUGAUACUGACGCUGAGGCGCGAAAGUGUGGGGAGCAAACAGGAUUAGAUACCCCUGUA